Molecule: long non-coding RNA, 224 nt
Organism: Cucumis melo (muskmelon)
Lineage: Eukaryota; Viridiplantae; Streptophyta; Magnoliopsida; Cucurbitales; Cucurbitaceae
Exons: 3
Source: RefSeq, a predicted model, not a curated record
GUCCGAAGCAAGGUGGCAUUGUGGAGUGCGGGUAUUAUGUGAUGCGAUUCAUGCGUGAUAUAAUAUUGUCAAGCAACAGGACAAUCAUUGAAGUAAUGGAAGGAUCAACCUCAACAUACUCACAGGACGAUUUAGAUGUCGUAAGAACGGAGUGGGCUGAAUUCGUUAACAAAUAUAUUUUCUGUUCCCAAUCUCAAAGGUAAUUGAAGAAUAGUGGAUCAUGG